This is a long non-coding RNA of Equus quagga, 1554 nucleotides long. RefSeq lists it as uncharacterized. Lineage: Eukaryota; Metazoa; Chordata; Mammalia; Perissodactyla; Equidae. The record is from RefSeq and is a predicted model, not a curated record. The transcript is spliced from 2 exons.
GCUCAGGCUCUGAAUGUCCUCAAUUCUAAAUUCCAACAAGAGAGCAAAGAGAAGAUGCCUCCUCUUUUCCUCCCAGACACCCCUACUGGAGUUCAUGAACAAGCCUAUGGACAGACCAUCCUUGGAUCAAAUAUGCUCCAUCAGUCCAAUCUGGUCUUGUCAUACCAUCACUGACUCAGCAGGGCAGAGGCUGUGAGGGGAGGCAUCCUAGCCCAGCUCAUAACACCGUGGACAAGAAAAUGGCAAACACUACACCAGUGAGCUGUUGCUGUCAGGGAGGAUGCUCAAGAGAAGACACAGGACCUGUGAUGGCAGCUGUAUCUCCAACAAAUGGGGGAUCCUGUUUUUACUUCAAUCCAGAACAACUUGAAGGUGGACUGCUCUGAGAACAUGAUAAUUCCUGCAGCCUCUCUGAAGAUGUCCUGAAGAACUGAGCAAUCAACAGGACUGGCCACAAAGCUGGGACCAGCUUGGGAAGCUACCCCUUUGUAUUUGCUCUUUCUCCUAUGCUGCCUCACUCUCUUUUUCCUUCACUAGUAUUUCCCUAGGAUGACAAUCCCCGUUAAAGUGAUCACACAUACAAUGUUGCCUCAGACUUUGUUUUCCAGGCAAACAGUGGGCUAAGACAAGUGGCAUCCCUAAUGAUGCACGAUUUGUAGGUGACAGAGCUGUGAUUUGAACCCAAGCCAACUUCAACUAUGAUACACAGAUGCAUGGAGACCACAAGUAGCCAUAUAGACAAAAGAAAGAGUCAGAUUCUAAUGAAAAAACAAUGAUAGGCCUGUCUGAAUUCCUAAACAAGAAAUGAGUGGAGCAAAGCCAGGAGAACAAGUGCCACGUUCUGUAAUUUUGGCUGUCUUCAUCCAGAGGAAGUUAAAGCUACUGGGUCUUCUGCCUCCCUUCUUUCCAUCAGAACAAACUGUCUCACAAUAAUUGGUGGCCUUGAUUUAUCCUAGGAGAAGAAAUUGAAGAAAUGAAGAUAGAGUGUGUUUCUGUGUGUAAUUUUCACUCUGUUCUAGGUUCCUUCUAGUGCACUACCUCUAAAAUGGGUACAAAACAUUAUUGGCUACUUCUCAAGAGAUUGUUUACACUAGCUCUUUGGUUUUUAAGAUAAAGACUUCAAUUUAAGGCUCUUGACCACAAAACACCAAUUACCACGAUUGUUGCAUCUUUUAUUACCCUUAUUAUCUUCUCACUCGAUAGGGAUUCUUCAAAAAAAUUUAAGUAAAAAGUCUCCACAUGAGCAAUAACAACAGAACAGUCUCCUGGAAAGUCCAUCAUCUUUAGCAAAGAGACGCAAUUUUUCAGAUGUGCCUAUCUUUGAUUUCUUGUACUGUCGUUAGGGGCUUUAGAUGUUUACAUUGAGCAUUGACAUUCCAUAAUGAAGAAAAGAUCUCCAACAUACAUUGGCCAGCUCUGCCUCAUGGGUAUAGAUCUAAUUUUCUCCAAUAGUGGAAGAUGGGCCACACAUUACCAAAUAAAUCUGUUCCAGCUUCCCUUGUAGCAAACUGUGCAUCUUCUCCCUGGAUUACUAUUAAACAGAUGAAACAAUAA